CCCUACGGGGGGCAGCAGUGGGGAAUAUUGCACAAUGGGGGAAACCCUGAUGCAGCGACGCCGCGUGAGUGAAGAAGUAAUUCGUUAUGUAAAGCUCUAUCAGCAGGGAAGAAAAUGACGGUACCCAAAGAGGAAGCUCCGGCUAACUACGUGCCAGCAGCCGCGGUAUACGUAGGGAGCGAGCGUUGUCCGGAAUUACUGGGUGUAAAGGGAGCGUAGGCGGGCGAGAAAGUUGAAUGUUAAAUCUACCGGCUUAACUGGUAGCUGCGUUCAAAACUUCUUGUCUUGAGUGAAGUAGAGGCAGG
RNAcentral lists this ribosomal RNA (305 nucleotides) under uncultured bacterium. Its description in RNAcentral is "bacterial SSU rRNA". It matches the Rfam family "Bacterial small subunit ribosomal RNA", at positions 337 to 661 of the family's 1533-position model. The record is from RNAcentral.